AGUAGUCAUAUGCUUGUCUCAAAGAUUAAGCCAUGCAUGUCUAAGUACAAGCCUCACUAAGGUGAAACCGCGAAUGGCUCAUUAAAUCACACCUAAUCUACUGGAUAGUAGACAGUUACUUGGAUACCUGCGGUAAUUCUGCAGCUAAUACAUGCUAUUAAGCCUCGACUCACGAAGAGGCGCUUUUAUUAGAUCAAAACCGAUCGGCUUCGGCCGUACCUUUGGUGAUUCUGAAUAACUUUGAGCUGAUCGCAUGGCCUCGCGCCGGCGACAUAUCCUUCGAAGGUGUGCCCUAUCAUCUGUCGACUGUGGCAUAGACGCCCACAGUGGAUUUGACGGGUAACGGAGAAUCAGGGUUCGAUUCCGGAGAGGGAGCCUUAAAAACGGCUACCACAUCCAAGGAAGGCAGCAGGCACGCAAAUUACCCAAUGACCGAAGGUCGAGGUAGUGACGAAAAAUAACGAUACGGGACUCAUCCGAGGCCCCGUAAUCGGAAUGAGUACAGUUUAAAAUAUUCCCCGAGGAUCUAUUGGAGGGC
This 538-nucleotide ribosomal RNA is filed under the name uncultured marine eukaryote. RNAcentral's name for it is "SSU rRNA". It matches the Rfam family "Eukaryotic small subunit ribosomal RNA", at positions 19 to 556 of the family's 1831-position model. The record is from RNAcentral.